Molecule: long non-coding RNA, 1229 nt
Organism: Camelus dromedarius (Arabian camel)
Lineage: Eukaryota; Metazoa; Chordata; Mammalia; Artiodactyla; Camelidae
Exons: 4
Source: RefSeq, a predicted model, not a curated record
AGCAAUGUAAGAAAAAUCUGUGUACUAAAAAUGUGAAAAUAGUUUCCUGGUUUGUGUUUUCAUUCUCCCAAUAUAGGUUUUGGAUGACAAGCUUGUAUUUGCAAAAAUACACACCCUGUGGGAUGUGCUCUGUACAUACGCUGAGAUACUGUACAUAAAAUUGCCUCUGAAUCCCAAUCAUCUGAAAACCCUGUUCUCAGCCUUUGAUACCUUCAGCUGUUUUAUGAAAGUCCUCCAAGUGGAUGAAAGUAUCAACAACCGGAACAAGAGUUUUUCAUUGCCCUAUUUGAGAAGAGCUGCGUGAACGACUUUUAUAUUCAGGAUAGAGAUACAUUCAUCAAUCCAACCACCAGGAGCCGCACUUGCAACUUCAGCCUCCAUCAGAGGACCUCAGCUGCCCCAGCGAACAGGGCCUUCUGUACAGGGAAUGUGCUCCUCCUCGAAGCAUAGACAAGAAGCAGCCCUUAGAUCUCAUCAGGAAAUUCUACGGAGAGAAGGUCGGAAUCUACUUUGCUUGGGCUGGGCUAUUACAUUCAGAUGCUCCUCCUGGCAGCAGUCGUGGGGGUGACUUGCUUUCUUGUGACCCAGGUGGCUGUCUCCUUGAACUGAUGAUGCAGCUGACAAUAAUCAUGGGAGGACAGUCCAUCUGGAAUAACAUACAAGAGGUGUUACUUCCGUGAGUACUAAGUCAUGUGAUCUUGGGGUGAGAACGGCCCACCCAUCCAAGUAAUUUUCCUGCAUGCCCAUCUCUAAAACAGGGGAGACUCUCUGCUUAUUAAAGCUCUCCAGAUAAGAUGAUCCAGCCAACAGUGUAAACAUACCUCCUGUUUAAUAAUUAUGUUUAAAUAUCUUCCUUUUUAUGUUUAAAUUAAAUCCUCAAGUGCUAUAGUUUCUGCUUAUUAGCCCAUCACUGGGGACUGACUGAUCAGAGCCCGUUGAGAGAUGGCCCUUUUUGGGGCCGUGAACUAAGUUUUCCCACAACUUCCUGCAACUUUCUCCUCCUUUUAUACAUGCAUUUAAAAAUCCAUAACAGGAAUUUGUUGAGUGCCUAGUAUGUGUUAGUCACUGUAUUAAAUGUUGUACAUAUAUGUGUGUGUGUGUGUACAAUUUAAUCACCCAAACAAUCCUUAUUCUUAUCUUCCUUUUCAAAUGAAGAUCCUGUGGCUUAAAGAGGGUAAAUGAUUUGCCCAAGUUCUCAUUGCCAAUAAGAGACCACUGUGGGACUCAGA